RNAcentral lists this transfer RNA (73 nucleotides) under Mustela putorius furo (domestic ferret). It matches the Rfam family "tRNA". From Rfam's summary of the family: Transfer RNA (tRNA) molecules are approximately 80 nucleotides in length. Lineage: Eukaryota; Metazoa; Chordata; Mammalia; Carnivora; Mustelidae. The record is from Rfam by way of RNAcentral.
GCCUGGCUGGCUCAGUCGAUGGCAUGUGUGACUCUUAAUCUCAAGGUUGUGGGUUCGAGCCCCACGCUGGGUA